Molecule: long non-coding RNA, 1117 nt
Organism: Lagopus leucura (white-tailed ptarmigan)
Lineage: Eukaryota; Metazoa; Chordata; Aves; Galliformes; Phasianidae
Exons: 2
Source: RefSeq, a predicted model, not a curated record
GCUAAAUGGCAGACAUCGCCAACAGCACAUCUGCAGGAGUCCCAGCACACCACACACCGAGGUUCUUCAAAGUCCUGACACAAAUCUCGGAUUGUGGAAGGUAGAAAUCCACACAAAUGUGAAGAAUGCAGAACGUGAUCACUCUGAGUUGGGUCCUGGCUGAAAAAUGCAUUGGAAAAGACCAAUGCUCCACCACUUACUGCAGAGGCAGAGAAAAGGCACACAUGCAAGGAGCCAUCUCCAUUCCACAGUGCACAUUAUCAGUUACAGCAGUGGUGACAGGAGACACACAGCCCUUUGUAUUUGCACAGGAUUUUUGGCGAUCAGCAGCACUAAAGACCCACAGUAGACUUCAGUGAAGUCAGGGCAUGGAAAGGCAAGGGAUUCCGAAAGAUGGCUGUCCACUGCAUAGGAAAGAAGAGCAUCCCAGAGAGCUAAGAAAAGCCAGGAGUUUGAAUAGAAGAAGCCGUGGAGAGGCUGGAGACACAGGAACUGCCAGUAAUCCAAGCAGAAGGCCUUUAACUUCAGCAUUUUCAAAGAACUGUACUGCAGCAAGCGGAUCCUGCAGCUAGAUUUUAACACCACGAGUCUUCUUUUUGUUUUGAUGUGAAUGACUUCAACCCAACGCAAUGCACCGCUCCCCUUAUUGCUGCUCACAAGCGUUUCUAAGUGCUGGCGGUGCGGCAGCCGGCGCACAUGGCACAGCACCUGCACGGCACAGCACCCACUUCGAUACAAAGAGGCAGCGCACAAAGGCUACGGCUCGCAGACGCUCUUUGAUCCCCACUGCAGUUUAUCUUCCCCAAAGUGUCCGAUGCCACCGGCUAGCUGCUGUUACACACAAAUCCCGCUUCUCCUUUUGGCUAUUUUAGGCCACUCGGAUGGCCCUCCGGACAAAUAACGCGUCUGCGUUCCAGCUAAGGCUGCAAAAGGAUCUUUGCAAAGCAUCCUGAGAGCUUGCAGAACUUAUGAGAAGACAAGCAAUUAUCUCAAUCAACCUCACAACUGCCUGUAAUCACAGCAGCGCUAUGAUCCCAUCACACGGGAACGGCAGUCCCCCCGCUCCUUUUUUUGUUGUUGUUGUUGUUGGUCAAAUAAAGCAGCACACAACUCCGCA